This 306-nucleotide ribosomal RNA is filed under the name Triticum aestivum (bread wheat). RNAcentral's name for it is "partial small subunit ribosomal RNA". The record is from RNAcentral. Lineage: Eukaryota; Viridiplantae; Streptophyta; Magnoliopsida; Poales; Poaceae.
AUGGCGCCGGUGCAGGGACGACGCGGGGACGGACUUGGUGUGGCGGAGCUCGGGGCCAUGGCGAACGGAGCACCUGCGAAGGGGAAGAGAGAGGUCAGGGACGGGCGAGAGGAGAGGAAGCACAGGAAGGAGUGGGGCGGCACUAUUCCUGGAGGACGAGAGAGGAGGCAGGGGCUUCGGGAGAGCGAGGAGGAUCUCCACUCCUCUGGAUCGAAGAGGGAGGAGGAGGCUCUUGAUCCAAUCGGGAUCGAGCGCGGGGUCGAUCUGAGAGGGAGAGGUGGGGGUUGCUGGUUGGAUCAACGCUGA